AUCUAGCUGACGAGUCGCAAAUAGGACGAAACUUGAGUCUUGCAU
This is a non-coding RNA of Schistosoma mansoni, 45 nucleotides long. NCBI's taxonomy places the organism in Eukaryota, Metazoa, Platyhelminthes, Trematoda, Strigeidida, Schistosomatidae. The record is from Rfam.